AUUGAACGCUGGCGGCAUGCCUUACACAUGCAAGUCGAACGGCAGCGGACCUUCGGGUGCCGGCGAGUGGCGAACGGGUGAGUAAAGUAUCGGAACGUACCUUUCAGUGGGGGAUAACGUAGCGAAAGUUACGCUAAUACCGCAUAUUCUGUGAGCAGGAAAGCAGGGGAUUGCAAGACCUUGCGCUGAUUGAGCGGCCGAUAUCAGAUUAGCUAGUUGGUGAGGUAAAGGCUCACCAAGGCGACGAUCUGUAGCGGGUCUGAGAGGAUGAUCCGCCACACUGGAACUGAGACACGGUCCAGACUCCUACGGGAGGCAGCAGUGGGGAAUUUUGGACAAUGGGGGCAACCCUGAUCCAGCCAUGCCGCGUGAGUGAAGAAGGCCUUCGGGUUGUAAAGCUCUUUCGGCCGGGAAGAAAUCGCGCCAGUUAAUACCUGGUGUGGAUGACGGUACCGGAAUAAGAAGCACCGGCUAACUACGUGCCAGCCGCCGCGGUAA
RNAcentral lists this ribosomal RNA (498 nucleotides) under uncultured bacterium. RNAcentral describes it as "partial 16S ribosomal RNA". It matches the Rfam family "Bacterial small subunit ribosomal RNA", at positions 30 to 523 of the family's 1533-position model. The record is from RNAcentral.